RNAcentral lists this ribosomal RNA (250 nucleotides) under uncultured bacterium. RNAcentral's name for it is "partial 16S ribosomal RNA". It matches the Rfam family "Bacterial small subunit ribosomal RNA", at positions 524 to 772 of the family's 1533-position model. The record is from RNAcentral.
UACAGAGGGGGCGAGCGUUGUUCGGAAUUACUGGGCGUAAAGGGCGCGUAGGCGGCCCGCUAAGUCAGACGUGAAAUCCCCCGGCUCAACCGGGGAACUGCGUCUGGGACUGGUGGGCUCGAAUCCGGGAGAGGGAUGCGGAAUUCCAGGUGUAGCGGUGAAAUGCGUAGAUAUCAGAAGGAACACCGGCGGCGAAGGCGACUCUCUGGUCCAUAACUGACGCUGAGUGUGCGAAAGCUAGGGGAGCAAA